Long non-coding RNA from Monodelphis domestica (gray short-tailed opossum), 1729 nucleotides. Lineage: Eukaryota; Metazoa; Chordata; Mammalia; Didelphimorphia; Didelphidae. The record is from Ensembl.
AUGCUGAUGAUGAUGGGAGAGAAUCCUUCGAAUUUCCUGAUGUGGACCAAAGCUAUGUACCUUCCCGGGAGGAGAUCAAGAAGCAAAGUAUACGUUUUAUUGAUGCUAAAACCAGAAAUGUCAAGAAACCAAAGAAGAAAUAACUGUUUCUUCUUUAGCUCUGAUCCUAUCCUUAACCCCACAAGGCCCAGCAUGUCCAACUUUCCAGCUCACAGUGAACUGCCUCCUUUCAUGGUCAGUUUAUUACACAAAUAAAUUUUUUCCAGGACUAAAUGUAGCACAAGCCAUUCCUGUCCAGGCAGCAGUUCCUGGGUAGGAGAAAAAGAGACUUGAGUGGGAUCACCAUCUUAGAAGAGUGAGAACAGUAAUCCCUAAUGCCUCCUAUGAGCUCCACUUACGGGAAAGGACAGUUGAAGGCAGGACAGGAAAGGAGAAAGAGAGGUGGAGGUAGGAAUCAGGACACUUGGGAUCUUUCUGGCUCUGCCACUAAUUCAUUUGUAAUCAGUCUGUCUAACAUAAUCUGCUGGGCACUGUGCUAAAUGCUAGGGACACCAAAAGACAAAAGACAUUUCUUGCUCUAAGAUCACAGUCAAAUGAAGAAGGCACAUAUGCAAACAACUAUGUUCAAAGGAGAAAUUCGAGAUAAUCAAAUAGAGGAAGGCACUAGAAUUAAGGGGGACCAAGAAAGGCUUUCUGUAGAAGGUGGGAUUUUAGAAGGAAGUCGGGACAACUGAGAGGUGGAGACGCAGAGGAGAAGCAUUCAACCCAUGGGAGACAGCUUGCAAAAAUGCCCAUUCAGGAAAUAUAGCAUUCUGGGCCAUCAAAAGGGAGAAUGCAAGUAUUAUGGGUCAAAAAGACCAUAGAGGAGAAUUAAGGAAGAUAGGAAGAAGACAAGUUAUAAUGGGCUUAAACAGCCAAAGAAAAGAUUACCAAAUUUUCUAUUUGAUAGAGAGCCAUUGGAGUUUAUUUAGUGGAGGGAUUCCGGAUAGAGAUAGGGUUGACAUAAUUGCAUCAGAUUUUUAGGAAAGUGACAGAGCUGAGUGGAGGAAGGAUUGGAAUGGAGAGAUCUGAGGCAGGGCAGACUCAUCAGGAGGCUACUGAGUUGCAAAAGUAAAAUAAUAAGAUAGGGUAUUUUACCAGAAUAGUGGCAGUGUUGAAGGGGGGUAGGGGUAGGUCAGAAAAUUAUUACAGAUACAAUCAACAAACCUAACACUCUGGAUUGUGGGGUGAGGAGAGUGACCUUAGACAAGUCUCUCUGCAGCUUCCAGUUUCCUCCUCUAUAAUAUAUGGAGCUUAGAUUACAAGGUUUACAGCACCAAAAGAUUUGGUAUUAUUUCGCUUAGGUUCAAGUGCCUACUCUGCAACUUCUUAUCAGAGACUUUGGGUAGUCACUUCUGUGAUUAUCUCAUCACUUUACUACUGGACUAUUGUAACAGCCUCCUGGUGAGUUUUCCUAUAAACCUAGGUCUGACUAUGUCAACUUGUCCCACCCCUGACCUCCACAAGAUAAACUCCAGUGACUCCCUAUCAAAUAUAUAAUCUGAGUCUUAGUUUCAUUUUUAAAAUGACGAUAAUACACCUUCAACUAGUUGCUUCCCCAAGAUGGACAAGGAGAGCACUUUAUACAGGGUAAAACAUUGAAUGUUUAAUUCAACAUUUUGAUCUCAAGCUAUUAUUCCCAAACACUAAUCUCAUAAAAGAUUCUGAAUAAAUCCACAUCAAGCAAGCA